GAUCAUGGCUCAGGAUGAACGCUAGCGACAGGCUUAACACAUGCAAGUCGAGGGGCAGUCACGGGAGUAGCAAUACAACUGGUGGCGACCGGCGCACGGGUGAGUAACGCGUAUGCAACCUACCGUAUCAGAGGGGAAUAACCCGGCGAAAGUCGGACUAAUACCGCAUAAAACAGGGGCACCGCAUGGUGAUAUUGUUAAGAAAUUCGCUGAUAGAUGGGCAUGCGUUCCAUUAGGUAGUUGGUGAGGUAACGGCUCACCAAGCCGACGAUGGAUAGGGGAACUGAGAGGUUGGUCCCCCACACUGGUACUGAGACACGGACCAGACUCCUACGGGAGGCAGCGGUGAGGAAUAUUGGUCAAUGGGCGGGGGCCUGAACCAGCCAAGUCGCGUGAAGGAAGAAGGAUCUAUGGUUCGUAAACUUCUUUUGCAGGGGAAUAAAGUGCAGGACGUGUCCUGUUUUGUAUGUACCCUGAGAAUAAGGAUCGGCUAACUCCGUGCCAGCCGCCGC
This 512-nucleotide ribosomal RNA is filed under the name uncultured bacterium. RNAcentral's name for it is "bacterial SSU rRNA". It matches the Rfam family "Bacterial small subunit ribosomal RNA", at positions 15 to 518 of the family's 1533-position model. The record is from RNAcentral.